AGUCCUUUCUCAUACAUAUACAUCUGUACAGGAAGGUUUAAAACUCUUAGGGUCAUGCAUAAUUUAUCAACACUCUCACGAUUCUUCCAGGUUUCAUUUCUGCAGGUGUUAAUUUUGUUGAUUUUAAGGCACCACUGGUUGUGGUGGGGAUGCAACCUGCACCUGAUGGACAACCAACAGUUCUAGGUGCUGAUUUAUUAGCUCCAUACUCAUCAGGUGCAGGGAGCUUCUCUUGUUUCAUUUGCUUCCAUCCUGAAGAUGUUUGACAA
Setaria italica (foxtail millet) is the source of this 269-nucleotide long non-coding RNA. RefSeq lists it as uncharacterized. The transcript has 3 exons. NCBI's taxonomy places the organism in Eukaryota, Viridiplantae, Streptophyta, Magnoliopsida, Poales, Poaceae. The record is from RefSeq and is a predicted model, not a curated record.